This 394-nucleotide long non-coding RNA is filed under the name Solanum tuberosum (potato). RNAcentral describes it as "long non-coding RNA (STUB_LNC002517)". The record is from RNAcentral. Lineage: Eukaryota; Viridiplantae; Streptophyta; Magnoliopsida; Solanales; Solanaceae.
UUUAUUUGUGGUGGUACAAAUAAGAGGUUGUGGGUUUUGGGUACAAACGGCUUUUCAAAUAUCUUGUUCAUAUUUAUAUUAACAUAUCUUUUUUCUUCCUUUGUAGAUGAUGUGCUACCUGUAGCUGCAUGUAACAAACUAUUAGUUUGGGUUUUUCGGUUGUUUCCCAUCGUCACCUUCUAGCUUCGGAAUUUUCAAGUCUUCCUGUCGACUUAGCUCCGCAUGUUUAUAGUCAUGCUGCUGACUUUUCAUUUGUUGUAGCUCUUUUUCAAAGCUGUCUACUUUUGUACAAAGUAGUGUCAUAGUAUUGAGUAUCUUUUCAAUAGCAUUUUUCUUUUAUCUAGAUCCAUCUGUGUAGCUUUGUCUUGAAAUGUAAUCUGCAAUGACAUUUUUG